Molecule: ribosomal RNA, 443 nt
Filed under: uncultured bacterium
Lineage: Bacteria
Description: partial 16S ribosomal RNA
Rfam family: Bacterial small subunit ribosomal RNA
Source: RNAcentral
CCUACGGGUGGCAGCAGUGGGGAAUAUUGGGCAAUGGGCGCAAGCCUGACCCAGCAACGCCGCGUGAAGGAAGAAGGCUUUCGGGUUGUAAACUUCUUUUCUGAGGGACGAAGAAAGUGACGGUACCUCAGGAAUAAGCCACGGCUAACUACGUGCCAGAAGCCUCGGUAAUACGUAGGUGGCAAGGUUUAUCCGGAUUUAUUGGGUGUAAGGGGCGUGUAGGCGGGAAAGCAAGUCAGAGGUGAAAACUCAGGGCUCAACCCUGAGCCUGCAUUUGAAACUGUUUUUCUUGAGUGCUGGAGAGGCAAUCGGAAGUCCGUGUGUAGCGGUGAAAUGCGUAGAUAUACGGAGGAACACCAGUGGCGAAGGCGGAUUGCUGGACAGUAACUGACGCUGAGGCGCGAAAGCGUGGGGAGCAAACAGGAUUAGAUACCCGUGUAGUC